RNAcentral lists this ribosomal RNA (253 nucleotides) under uncultured bacterium. RNAcentral's name for it is "partial 16S ribosomal RNA". It matches the Rfam family "Bacterial small subunit ribosomal RNA", at positions 524 to 776 of the family's 1533-position model. The record is from RNAcentral.
UACGGGGGGGGCAAGCGUUGUUCGGAAUUACUGGGCAUAAAGGGCUCGUAGGCGGCCAACUAAGUCAGACGUGAAAUCCCUCGGCUUAACCGGGGAACUGCGUCUGAUACUGGAUGGCUAGAGGUUGGGAGAGGGAUGCGAAAUUCCAGGUGUAGCGGUGAAAUGCGUAGAUAUCUGGAGGAACACCGGUGGCGAAGGCGGCAUCCUGGACCAAUUCUGACGCUGAGGAGCGAAAGCCAGGGGAGCAAACGGG